RNAcentral lists this ribosomal RNA (372 nucleotides) under uncultured organism. RNAcentral's name for it is "bacterial SSU rRNA". It matches the Rfam family "Bacterial small subunit ribosomal RNA", at positions 526 to 896 of the family's 1533-position model. The record is from RNAcentral.
CGUAGGAGGCAAGCGUUAUCCGGAUUCACUGGGCGUAAAGCGCGUGCAGGUGGCGCGGUAAGUUGGGCGUGAAAUCUCCCGGCUCAACUGGGAGAGGUCGUUCAAUACUACCGUGCUUGAGAGCAGAAGAGGAAGAUGGAAUUCCCGGUGUAGUGGUGAAAUGCGUAGAUAUCGGGAGGAACACCAGUGGCGAAGGCGAUCUUCUGGUCUGUUUCUGACACUCAGACGCGACAGCUAGGGUAGUAAACGGGAUUAGAGACCCCGGCAAUCCUAGCCGUAAACGAUGUGAACUUGGCGUUGGUGGGUUAAACUCCAUCAGUGCCGUAGCAAACGCGAUAAGUUCACCGCCUGGGGACUACGGCCGCAAGGUUA